AUUGAACGCUGGCGGCAGGCCUAAUACAUGCAAGUCGAACGGUAACAGGAAGAAGCUUGCUUCUUUGCUGUCGCGUGGCGCACGGGUGUGACACGUCUGGGACACUGCUUGAUGGCGGGGGAAACCUACUGGAACCGGUAGUUAAUCCCGAAUAACGUUGCAAGCCCAUGGUGGAGGAGUUUAGGGCCUCCUGGCUUUGGCUGUGACCAGGUGGGAUUAGCUAGUAGGUAGGGUAACGGCUAACCAAGGCCACGAUCCCUAGCGGACCUGAGAGGUUGACCGGCCACACUGGAACUGAGACACGGUCCAGACUCCUACGGGGGGCAGCAGUGGGGAAUAUUGCACAAUGGGCGCAAGCCUGAUGCAGCCAUGCCGCGUGUAUGAUGAAGGCCUUCGGGUUGUAAAGUACUGUCAGCGGGGAGGAAGAGAGUUAUAUGAAAACCUGUACACAUUGACGGUACCUACAGAGGAAGCCCCGGCUAACUCCGUG
RNAcentral lists this ribosomal RNA (490 nucleotides) under uncultured bacterium. RNAcentral describes it as "partial 16S ribosomal RNA". It matches the Rfam family "Bacterial small subunit ribosomal RNA", at positions 30 to 507 of the family's 1533-position model. The record is from RNAcentral.